UGUAAGAAAGACUAAGGGAUAGUCUUCGGGC
This 31-nucleotide transfer RNA is filed under the name Leptoria phrygia. RNAcentral describes it as "partial tRNA-Met". Lineage: Eukaryota; Metazoa; Cnidaria; Anthozoa; Scleractinia; Merulinidae. The record is from RNAcentral.